GGAAUAUUGCACAAUGGGCGCAAGCCUGAUGCAGCCAUGCCGCGUGUAUGAAGAAGGCCUUCGGGUUGUAAAGUACUUUCAGCGGGGAGGAAGGGAGUAAAGUUAAUACCUUUGCUCAUUGACGUUACCCGCAGAAGAAGCACCGGCUAACUCCGUGCCAGCAGCCGCGGUAAUACGGAGGGUGCAAGCGUUAAUCGGAAUUACUGGGCGUAAAGCGCACGCAGGCGGUUUGUUAAGUCAGAUGUGAAAUCCCCGGGCUCAACCUGGGAACUGCAUCUGAUACUGUCAAGCUUGAGUCUCGUAGAGGGGGGUAGAAUUCCAGGUGUAGCGGUGAAAUGCGUAGAGAUCUGGAGGAAUACCGGUGGCGAAGGCGGCCCCCUGGACGAAGACUGACGCUCAGGUGCGAAAGCGUGGGGAGCAAACAGGA
This 427-nucleotide unclassified non-coding RNA is filed under the name plant metagenome. RNAcentral describes it as "partial contains 5.8S ribosomal RNA, internal transcribed spacer 2, and large subunit ribosomal RNA". It matches the Rfam family "Bacterial small subunit ribosomal RNA", at positions 358 to 777 of the family's 1533-position model. The record is from RNAcentral.